UGGGGGCGCUCGCGGCGGCAGCGGGGGCGGUGGCCCCAACGGGAAAUCCGGGAAGGCUGCGGGGUUGGCACCGGCCACAAGGACCUCAAGGUCUAGCUGUGCUAAUGACUCAUAGUUUAUCUCAACCAUGUAUAAAGAAUACAGAAGAAGACUCCAGGAGGUUGGGGAGCCACUAGAGGAUUCCAUCCAGGACACCACAUUUAAUUGUUAUGAUGUCUUGUGCUCCUCUUGGCUGUGAGAGUUUCUCAGAUUUUCCUUGUAUUUGAUGACCUUGACAGUCCUUAGGAGUACUGAGAUGGAGGUUUCACGAUGUUGCCCAGGCUGGUCCCAAACUCCUGGCCUCAAGCUAUCCUCCUGCCUUGACGUUCGAAAGCACUGAGAUUUUCCUCUCUGUCCUGCCGCCAUGUGAAGAAAGAUGUGUUUGCUUCCCCUUCCACCGUGACUGUAAUUUUCCUGCAGCCUCCCCAGCCAAGCUGAACUGUGAGUCAAUUAAAC
Long non-coding RNA from Pan troglodytes (chimpanzee), 495 nucleotides. RefSeq lists it as uncharacterized. NCBI's taxonomy places the organism in Eukaryota, Metazoa, Chordata, Mammalia, Primates, Hominidae. The transcript has 5 exons. The record is from RefSeq and is a predicted model, not a curated record.